AUACGGAGGGUGCAAGCGUUACUCGGAAUCACAGGGCGUAAAGCGCGCGCAGGCGGCUUGAUAAGUUGGAUGUGAAAGCCUACGGCUCAACCGUAGAACUGCAUCCAAAACUAUUUAGCUAGAGUGUGGGAGAGGAAGAUGGAAUUAGUUGUGUAGGGGUAAAAUCCGUAGAGAUAACUAGGAAUACCAAAAGCGAAGGCAAUCUUCUGGAACACUACUGACGCUGAGGCGCGAAAGCGUGGGGAGCAAACAGGAUUAGAAACCCCAGUAGUCC
This 274-nucleotide ribosomal RNA is filed under the name uncultured bacterium. Its description in RNAcentral is "partial 16S ribosomal RNA". It matches the Rfam family "Bacterial small subunit ribosomal RNA", at positions 523 to 796 of the family's 1533-position model. The record is from RNAcentral.